AACGAACGCUGGCGGCAUGCCUAACACAUGCAAGUCGAACGAGACCUUCGGGUCUAGUGGCGCACGGGUGCGUAACGCGUGGGAACCUGCCCUUAGGUUCGGAAUAACUCCCCGAAAGGGGUGCUAAUACCGGCUAAUGUCUUCGGACCAAGGAUUUAUCGCCUUUGGAUGGGCCCGCGUUGGAUUAGCUAGUUGGUAGGGUAAAAGCCUACCAAGGCGACGAUCCAUAGCUGGUCUGAGAGGAUGAUCCGCCACACUGGGACUGAGACACGGCCCAGACUACUACGGGAGGCAGCAGUGGGGAAGAUUGGACAAGGGGCGAAGGCCGGAUCCAGCAAUGCCGCGUGGGUGAUGAAGGCCUUAGGGUUGUAAAGCUCUUUUACCCGGGAUGAUAAUGACAGUACCGGGAGAAUAAGCGCCGGCCAACUCCGUG
Molecule: ribosomal RNA, 433 nt
Filed under: uncultured bacterium
Lineage: Bacteria
Description: partial 16S ribosomal RNA
Rfam family: Bacterial small subunit ribosomal RNA
Source: RNAcentral